RNAcentral lists this ribosomal RNA (252 nucleotides) under uncultured bacterium. RNAcentral describes it as "partial 16S ribosomal RNA". It matches the Rfam family "Bacterial small subunit ribosomal RNA", at positions 524 to 776 of the family's 1533-position model. The record is from RNAcentral.
UACGGAGGAUGCGAGCGUUAUCCGGAUUUAUUGGGUUUAAAGGGUGCGUAGGCGGACUGUUAAGUCAGCGGUAAAAGCCCGGGGCUCAACCCCGACGAGCCGUUGAAACUGGCUGUCUUGAGAUGUCGAGAGGUAUGCGGAAUGCGCAGUGUAGCGGUGAAAUGCUUAGAUAUUGCGCAGAACUCCGAUUGCGAAGGCAGCAUACCGGCGGCGGUCUGACGCUGAGGCACGAAAGCGUGGGUAUCGAACAGG